RNAcentral lists this unclassified non-coding RNA (237 nucleotides) under plant metagenome. RNAcentral's name for it is "partial contains small subunit ribosomal RNA and internal transcribed spacer 1". The stretch from base 1 to 46 matches the Rfam family "Eukaryotic small subunit ribosomal RNA", at positions 1786 to 1831 of the family's 1831-position model. The record is from RNAcentral.
AAGUCGUAACAAGGUUUCCGUAGGUGAACCUGCGGAAGGAUCAUUAAAUUUCGGUAGUCUACUACCGUUUGAGGGAGGUAGAAACUGGGCAGCUAUAGCUGUGCAGAAGUAUACUUCUCUUCUCAACCCUUGACUUUUUGCGCACUUGUGUUUCCUCGGCAGGCAUGCCUGUCGAUUGGACAAAUCAAUAACCUUUUUAAUUUUCAAUCAGCGUCUGAAUUAUUUUAAUAAUUACAA